AUUGAACGCUGGCGGCAGGCCUAACACAUGCAAGUCGAACGAGGGGCGGACGGGUGAGUAAUGUAUGGGAAACUGCCUGAUGGCGGGGGAUAACUACUGGAAACGGUAGCUAAUACCGCAUACCAUCAGAUGUGCCCAGAUGGGAUUCGCGUGUUGGUGGGGUAACGGCUCACCAAGGCGACGAUCCCUAGCUGGUCUGAGAGGAUGACCAGCCACACUGGAACUGAGACACGUUCCAGACUCAUGCGGGAGGCAGCAGUGGUGCAUAUUGCACAAUGGGCGCAAGCCUGAUGCAGCACUGCCGCGUGUAUGAAGAAGGCCUUCGGGUUGUAAAGUACUUUCAGCGGGGAGGCGUUACCCGCAGAAGAAGCACCGGCUAACUCGGUGCCAGCAGCCGCGGUAAUUC
Molecule: ribosomal RNA, 406 nt
Filed under: uncultured bacterium
Lineage: Bacteria
Description: partial 16S ribosomal RNA
Rfam family: Bacterial small subunit ribosomal RNA
Source: RNAcentral